Molecule: long non-coding RNA, 747 nt
Organism: Octopus sinensis (East Asian common octopus)
Lineage: Eukaryota; Metazoa; Mollusca; Cephalopoda; Octopoda; Octopodidae
Exons: 4
Source: RefSeq, a predicted model, not a curated record
AGAUAAAGAAAGUUUAUUUUUAAAUGUAAAACUUGGAAAUAUUUAUUUCAGAGGCUCCAAAGUUUGAGGACAGGCGUGUAAAAACAGAGGCUACAUGUCAGGAAUUAGGGGCUGCAUCUCAGGUAAUAGAGGCUCCAAACUUUGAGGACAUGUGUGGUACAAACAGAGGCUACAUGUCAGGAAUUAGAGGUUUCAUCUCAGGCAAUUGAGAGUCCAGUUCUGAAGGAGAGGAUCUUCUGAGAGUGGCUAAGAGGUUAGGAAGUGAUUGGUGGCAAGUGGCGAUUUUUUUAGGAGUUGAUACAACUGAACUGAAAAUUGAUGAUGAGUCUAUUGACACUGUAAAACAAGGCUACCUGAUGCUUCGCGAAUGGUUCAAAAAUUGCGACCCAGAAACACGGACACACGCAACAUUAAGUGCAGCUCUUGAAGAAGCUGAAUGUUUCGCUGCGAUGGAAUGUCUGUCAUUAGACGCAAAGUGAAUUUCCAUGUAACUGUUGUUGUUUAGCUUCAGAUUAACCUUGACCAAACAGAGUCUUUUGAUCAAACGCAUUCCAGCCAGGACCAUCAUGCCUAUUUCCAAAGAGAACCCGCAACCAUCUCGUCCAAUAUGCCCUUCUGUACAGUGAUAUCGUGUGAAUUUAGCUGCUAAUUCUAGCAGGUAUAUCAACCACAUUGUGAUCCCAUCACUGGUUUUGUUCCUUUGUUAAAAAUUCACUUUUAAAAUAAAGACAAACUUUGAAAUGUUCA